AAACUAUUUAUUUUUAUUAUAAAAUUUUAUGUGGCUUCGUGUUAUUGUGUGCAUAAGAUAGCAAUAGCACGGCCGUGUCAUGAUCCGGAUUUGGGGCGUGAGAUUUAGUGGUAUCAGAGCAAUAGGUUUAAUAAAGGGUAAAAAAAAAAAGAGUUUUAGUAAGGGAAAUGGGUAGUUAAGUCCCGUUAAAUUAAAUUCGGCAUAUUCAAAAUAAAGAAAAUUAGUUAAUUGAAUUAUGCUAAUAUUUUUUUAUAUAGGUGAAAAUGAGGAACAGAGAGAAUGAAGUCUUGGCAAAUAUUGCAGCUCGGAGGAGAGGAGCAAGAGGGAGAGGAGUUGCCAGGCAGCCAGCCGAGCAAACUCCUAAUCCAGCUGUCACCCAGGCCGAUUUUGCAGGAGCAAGUCAGGUG
RNAcentral lists this long non-coding RNA (407 nucleotides) under Phoenix dactylifera (date palm). RNAcentral describes it as "long non-coding RNA (PDAC_LNC020145)". The record is from RNAcentral. Lineage: Eukaryota; Viridiplantae; Streptophyta; Magnoliopsida; Arecales; Arecaceae.